UUUGGGUUAACUAACCCUUUAAACAAAUUAAACAAACAUCUUCCCACCAUGUAUUUUUCCUCUUCCACGGUCGGUGAUGCAGGGAGUCUUGUGAUCGAUUGUCAAGCUGGAAUUAUGGCAUAUUUUAACGCUGGGUUGUGUUGAGCAAGCGAGCCGUCUGCGCUUAGAGAGCACUCAGGGCUGGUAUGAGAGGAGCAAGAAAGUGAAACUUUGCACAUGCGAAAGAGAACAUCUGCACACAUCCAAAUACUUAUUUUAAAAGCAAAAUUGAUUUUUGUACGCUCGAAAUAUUUUAUUAUCUGAGAGACAGAUAUUUCUCCGCAAAACUCGGUUCACACACGUGCGAAAUGCCCAUUCGCAUGCUCAAAAUGUGAUCUUGCGCACGCAGAAUUGUGACCGAAAUCUAACCCCAUAAACUUUUUGGGCAUUUAUAGUUUUUCGUAUUUAAAUGGUAAUAGUAUUUAGAAAUAUUGGAGAGUUACUUGUAAUUACUGUCAAAUAAUGUUUAUAUAAAGUAAACCCCCGUAUUUAAAUGGUAAUAGUAUUUAGAAAUAUUGGAGAGUUACUUGUAAUUACUGUCAAAUAAUGUUUAUAUAAAGUAAACCCCCGUAUUUAAAUGGUAAUAGUAUUUAGAAAUAUUGGAGAGUUACUUGUAAUUACUGUCAAAUAAUGUUUAUAUAAAGUAAACCCCCGUAUUUAAAUGGUAAUAGUAUUUAGAAAUAUUGGAGAGUUACUUGUAAUUACUGUCAAAUAAUGUUUAUAUAAAGUAAACCCCCGUAUUUAAAUGGUAAUAGUAUUUAGAAAUAUUGGAGAGUUACUUGUAAUUACUGUCAAAUAAUGUUUAUAUAAAGUAAACCCCCGUAUUUAAAUGGUAAUAGUAUUUAGAAAUAUUGGAGAGUUACUUGUAAUUACUGUCAAAUAAUGUUUAUAUAAAGUAAACCCCCGUAUUUAAAUGGUAAUAGUAUUUAGAAAUAUUGGAGAGUUACUUGUAAUUACUGUCAAAUAAUGUUUAUAUAAAGUAAACCCCCGUAUUUAAAUGGUAAUAGUAUUUAGAAAUAUUGGAGAGUUACUUGUAAUUACUGUCAAAUAAUGUUUAUAUAAAGUAAACCCCCGUAUUUAAAUGGUAAUAGUAUUUAGAAAUAUUGGAGAGUUACUUGUAAUUACUGUCAAAUAAUGUUUAUAUAAAGUAAACUACCGUAUUUAAAUGGUAAUAGUAUUUAGAAAUAUUGGAGAGUUACUUGUAAUUACUGUCAAAUAAUGUUUAUAUAAAGUAAACUACCGUAUUUAAAUGGUAAUAGUAUUUAGAAAUAUUGGAGAGUUACUUGUAAUUACUGUCAAAUAAUGUUUAUAUAAAGUAAACUACCGUAUUUAAAUGGUAAUAGUAUUUAGAAAUAUUGGAGAGUUACUUGUAAUUACUGUCAAAUAAUGUUUAUAUAAAGUAAACUACCGUAUUUAAAUGGUAAUAGUAUUUAGAAAUAUUGGAGAGUUACUUGUAAUUACUGUCAAAUAAUGUUUAUAUAAAGUAAACUACCGUAUUUAAAUGGUAAUAGUAUUUAGAAAUAUUGGAGAGUUACUUGUAAUUACUGUCAAAUAAUGUUUAUAUAAAGUAAACCCCCGUAUUUAAAUGGUAAUAGUAUUUAGAAAUAUUGGAGAGUUACUUGUAAUUACUGUCAAAUAAUGUUUAUAUAAAGUAAACCCCCGUAUUUAAAUGGUAAUAGUAUUUAGAAAUAUUGGAGAGUUACUUGUAAUUACUGUCAAAUAAUGUUUAUAUAAAGUAAACCCCCGUAUUUAAAUGGUAAUAGUAUUUAGAAAUAUUGGAGAGUUACUUGUAAUUACUGUCAAAUAAUGUUUAUAUAAAGUAAACCCCCGUAUUUAAAUGGUAAUAGUAUUUAGAAAUAUUGGAGAGUUACUUGUAAUUACUGUCAAAUAAUGUUUAUAUAAAGUAAACCCCCGUAUUUAAAUGGUAAUAGUAUUUAGAAAUAUUGGAGAGUUACUUGUAAUUACUGUCAAAUAAUGUUUAUAUAAAGUAAACCCCCGUAUUUAAAUGGUAAUAGUAUUUAGAAAUAUUGGAGAGUUACUUGUAAUUACUGUCAAAUAAUGUUUAUAUAAAGUAAACCCCCGUAUUUAAAUGGUAAAAAUAUGUAGAAAUAUUGGAGAGUUGCUUGUUAUUACCGUCAAAUAAUGUUUAUAUAAAGCAAUAACAGUUAAAAAUAUGUUUCCGAAACUUAAUAUCACAAGAUCUUGUGUUUUUUUGUACAGGAUAAAACCAAUAUUUAACAGGAAUUUACUGUAAAUAGAUUGAAUAAUGACAUAAAAUAAAAGUUUAAAUCGAUCAAUAUACUGGUAUUGG
Molecule: long non-coding RNA, 2350 nt
Organism: Cyprinus carpio (common carp)
Lineage: Eukaryota; Metazoa; Chordata; Actinopteri; Cypriniformes; Cyprinidae
Source: Ensembl